Molecule: ribosomal RNA, 492 nt
Filed under: uncultured bacterium
Lineage: Bacteria
Description: partial 16S ribosomal RNA
Rfam family: Bacterial small subunit ribosomal RNA
Source: RNAcentral
AUUGAACGCUGGCGGCAUGCUUUACACAUGCAAGUCGAACGGUAACAGGCCUUCGGGUGCUGACGAGUGGCGAACGGGUGAGUAAUGCAUCGGAACGUGUCCAGAGGUGGGGGAUAACGCAGCGAAAGCUGUGCUAAUACCGCAUGUGAUCUGAGGCUGAAAGCGGGGGACCAGGCAGCAAUGUUUGGCCUUGCGCCUUUGGAGCGGCCGAUGUCAGAUUAGGUAGUUGGUGGGGUAAAGGCCUACCAAGCCGACGAUCUGUAGCUGGUCUGAGAGGACGACCAGCCACACUGGGACUGAGACACGGCCCAGACUCCUACGGGAGGCAGCAGUGGGGAAUUUUGGACAAUGGGCGCAAGCCUGAUCCAGCAAUGCCGCGUGCGUGAAGAAGGCCUUCGGGUUGUAAACCGCUUUUGUACGGAACGAAAAGGCUCUGGCUAAUACCUGGGGCUGAUGACGGUACCGAAAGAAUAAGCACCGGCUAACUACGUG